UGGGGAAUAUUGGACAAUGGGCGCAAGCCUGAUCCAGCCAUGCCGCGUGAGUGAUGAAGGCCUUAGGGUUGUAAAGCUCUUUCGCCGGUGAAGAUAAUGACGGUAACCGGAGAAGAAGCCCCGGCUAACUUCGUGCCAGCAGCCGCGGUAAUACGAAGGGGGCUAGCGUUGCUCGGAAUCACUGGGCGUAAAGCGCACGUAGGCGGAUCGUUAAGUCAGGGGUGAAAUCCUGGAGCUCAACUCCAGAACUGCCCUUGAUACUGGCGAUCUCGAGUUCGAGAGAGGUUGGUGGAACUCCGAGUGUAGAGGUGAAAUUCGUAGAUAUUCGGAAGAACACCAGUGGCGAAGGCGGCCAACUGGCUCGAUACUGACGCUGAGGUGCGAAAGCGUGGGGAGCAAAACAGGAUUAGAUACCCUGGUAGUCCACGCCGUAAAACGAUGGAUGCUAGCCGUUGGGGGGUUUACCUCUCAGUGGCGCAGCUAACGCCUUAAGCAUCCCGCCUGGGGAGUACGGUCGCAAGAUUAAAAACUCAAAAGGAAUUGACGGGGUCAUAGCUGUUUCCU
RNAcentral lists this ribosomal RNA (564 nucleotides) under uncultured bacterium. RNAcentral describes it as "partial 16S ribosomal RNA". It matches the Rfam family "Bacterial small subunit ribosomal RNA", at positions 355 to 1375 of the family's 1533-position model. The record is from RNAcentral.